UCAGGUACACCAACAACUGUACCACCAACCAGAUGGGGGAUGUCUUCUAAUUUUGUGAGCAAGAAGCCUUCUGAAAUUCUUAAUUCACAAGAAAUGCAACAUUUCUUUCACCCAGGCCUGCCUCUGUAUCUGUCAAAUGCAGUGACUUCAGUUGCAUUGAAAGCUAUCACUACAAUAAUCUCGCAGGCAAAGUGUACGCAUGAUGGCUUCUCGAAGAGCGGAGAUGACAGUUGUCGGGAAAUUGUUGAGAGCUUAAUCUCCAUCGUACUUCGUGCUCAGCUGACACAUUUUGAUCUGUUAAAAUGGCCGUGGUUCAUAGGGGAGACACUGCUCAAGCAUUUACACAUUUUCCAUCAUUUAGAAGUUCUCAAACUGUGGCCUGUAACUUGGAGUCCCGUCUGGGCCACUGUAGUGGAAGUGCUUCAGGGCGGCUACUGCUCAUUAAGCAACCUUGUAUCAUUCAGUAUGAGAUGUCACUGCACAGACAAGAUUCUCAUACUGAUGGUUUCCUGUACCAGACUCCAGUACCUUGAUGUGAUGUCUUCUGUCGAAGUAACAGACUUGUGUGUCAGUUCACUUCUACACCUGAACAACUUAAAAGUAAUGAAUAUGUGUAGCACAUCACUCACAGCAGUGGGCUACACUAGACUAUUAAAUGGAUUGCCACAUCUCGGCAAGUUAGUGUGGUUUGACCUGAAUAGCAAGGCACUGGGAAGCAUGAAGACUUCACCUCUCAGUCUCCUUAGUUAUGAAGCUAGCAGAGUGUCACUCAAUCAGCUGAUCAUCAUAGUUCGUAUGUGUCCAUACCUGAUACAGAUCAGUCUUCACUGGGUUGAAGCUGACCUAUCAGUUCUUGGAGAACUGAAACAACUUAAAGAAAUAAAAAUUGCACACUGUAGUGCAGUUAACAGUAAUCUGAAAGGAUUAUUAGAAGUUGUAGGUUAUAAUAUUGCAUCACUGGAACUACAUGAGAUGAAAGAUGUGGAUUUGUUGAUGAUUGGUGCUCUGUGUAUAAAUCUUAAGAGAAUGGGCUUAAUGUGUGACUUCAAGGCUUCUGAAGAAUCAUUCUUAGCUAUAAAAGAACCUCUGUUCAAAGAACUGGAAGAUCUUAGGUUUGGUUCAGAAUAUUCUGAAUGUCUGUUCUUCAGUUGCAUAAAUAUUAGGAAACUGGAGGUUUCAAAAUGUCAGAAUUUCAAUGAUCAUGUGGUGGCAGCAUUGCUGACAAGGAAUCCUCUAAAGCAGUUGGAAGUACUGUCAGUAGGUCACAGUGGACUGCUCAGUAUGAACACAGUGCAUCUCCUGUUGGAAUCCUGUGAUAAUCUUAGAGUGCUUGAGGGUUUAGAGAGUUGGGGGGGUGUUACCAAGUCACAGGUCAUGGAACUAUGCGCAGACAUGAAAAGAAAGAAUAUGGACAUUGAAAUACUGUGGAAGAAACCACUCCAAAUUAGUUGGUAGUGCUACCAGAUAUUGUCUUUAAAGGAAGGAAAACUGGUCGUCUGUUUAUGUCCAUUGAUAUAGUUACACUUAUGUUCCAACAUUGGUUGGUUUUACACACACACACACACACACAAUAACCAGCUCCUUCUAAAGAGCUCAGCUGUGCAGCAACCUCUCUUCCUUAUACCUGAUGAUGGAGAAAAUCUAAUCUGUGAAAGGUAAAUUCAUUGUAAUGGACCGAUCUGCCAUCCAAAUGUUACUAGCACAUGUCUAUUGGUGCACUGUUUAAGCACUAUGAAUAAGAAGAGGCCACAGGUAGCGGGAGAAGAAAUGUAAACAUAACUGUCGAAGAGGGAAGCACCAAUGUACACCAAAUGAAGAACAGUAUUCCAUUAAGAAGAAGCAGGAUGCAUAAUUCUGUGAAAAGUGAAAGAGGUUCCUAUCUGAAUAAGAAACAAUGGAAGAGAAUGGUACUCAGCAGAAGCAGUGUCUGUCACAGAAGAUGGGCAGCAUGACUGAAGAGUCAAAAAAUGCACAACUUGAUUCUCAUGACUUUAUACCAGAUCAGAAGCCUAACAUGGUACAGUCAUCUUGGAAACCAUUCGGCUGUGAAACAUGUGGAAAGCGAUUCACCCUGAGAGGUAGCCUCAGAACACAUGAGAAGCUCCAUGGCUUUCGCCCAACAUAUAAUUGUGAUGUGUGUGGGAAAACUUUUAAAGUAGCAACUGGACUUAAGUCUCAUGCCUCACUCCACUCUGGACAAAAACCGUUCCAUUGUGACAUAUGCGGGAAGUCUUUCACACUAAAAGGAAGUUUGAAAACACAUUCAGCUCUUCAUUCCACAGUGCAGGAAUCUUUUCCUUGUUACAUAUGUAGGAAGACAUACAAAGGAAAAGCCAGCCUCAAGUCUCACCUCGCAAUGCACACGGGAAAGAAAUCAUUUAUGUGUGAGUGAAACAACUGAUGGUGACAGCUUAGACAUCCACCCUUCCUGACAAACAGUAUUCUCGGAUCAAGAGGCACAAAGGUCUGUUCCCUCUAGUACACCUAUUGGAGACGCAAACACGAUGCCAAACAUGAAACCUGAUAUAACAGGACAACAGGUGGCUUCAUUUGACUUCUGGCAUAGGUUUCCUCAACUGUUUCAUGGUUAUGAUAUUCCUGAAGGAGUUUCAGCCAGCCAGCCUGUAGUUGCAAGAGAAUGUACAAAGAAGGAAAUAUAUGUCAGUUGUGAAUCUCCAGGCGUUGGUAUGCUGGCAGCAAGUCACAGUGAUGACAUGACAUUUUACAUAGGACAGAGCCUGGUUCACAAAUAUGGUAGAAAUAAGGCACCACUUUCUUUGCGUAGCAGACCGUUUGGCUGUGAAACUUGUGGCAAAAAGUUUACUCUUAGGGGCAGUCUCAAGACCCAUGAAAAGCUUCAUUUAUUCCGGCAGUCAUACCACUGCCAUGUGUGUGGCAAGACAUUCAAAGUGGAAGCCGGGCUCAAAGCCCACGCAGUGUUACACACAAACCACAGACCAUUUUUCUGUUUUGUAUGUGGUAAAGGUUUCACCCUCAAGGGUAGCCUAAAAACACAUCUGACACUACACUCUGUUCAUCGAGCAACUUAUCCAUGUGACAUGUGUGGGAAGACAUACAAAGGUAAAGCAAGUUAUGACUCACACAGAGCCCAGCAUUUGGGUCAGGCAUUAUAUCAGUGUGAAGUUUGUGGCAAGAAUUUUACUCUGAAGGGAAGUCUUAAGCUCCAUUCAGUGCUACACUCAGGCAUGAAGCCUUAUGCCUGUCAGAUCUGUGGGAUGGGCUUUGCAUUACGUAGUCAUCUCACACGACAUUUCCGAAUGCAUAACCCUCGAUGAAAUUGAAGCCCCAGAAUGCAGGCUUUAUAAAUGCAUUAAACAAAGUUCAUAAAGAUCCUAAGUACAAAUAACAUAAUAGCUUAAGAAUAUCAUGGCCUCAUGGCCCAGUACAAUAUAAUCAGAAAUGUAAGGCAAUUUUAAACACAUUAUUAUACCAACACAAAAUUGUUUUCGUUGUGAAAUGUUACAGUAGGAGCCUAUGGUGACAGACCUCACGUUGACAGUGCACUUGAGAUGUCAGUGAACAUUUUGAAAUGUAAAUUCUAAAGGGUUCUGAUAGUGUAUUACAUAUAUGAUUACUGGGUUAUUAGGCUUUGUUUGUUGUCUGGUAUUCCAAACAGAACAUUUUUCAGAAACAAGGUCUGUUUCCUCUUCAGGUGGAAAGGCUUGGAAGUAGAUAUAUCCAAUAGAAAGAGUUGCUCUCAGUACUGUACCUGCUUCUAACAGAAACCUCUUCUAGGUUAUGUCUGUUAACAAACAGCACUUCUCAAUUAGAAGACCUGGUUCUCAUGGACCCAGCUGAAUAGGUGAAUCCUUACUUUCUUACAUGAGGACAGAAACAGAUCCUGUUUUUUAAAUAUUAUGGCACUAUGCCAUGAAGACAUAUGAGGGAGUGGAUGUAUAGAUCCAUGUAUUCUUGACCUUGAAGAACCAUUUUUGAUACAUUUAUCAUACAUCUAUGGCCACAUAACAACAACAGACACAAGAAAAUUAACAGAUCUCUGAGAUGCACUAUUACAAUUUCUCCAUUUACAUACAUUUUAU
This is an RNA transcript of Cryptotermes secundus, 4061 nucleotides long. It is a transcript of the gene named gastrula zinc finger protein XlCGF7.1, with no coding region annotated. The record is from RefSeq and is a predicted model, not a curated record. Lineage: Eukaryota; Metazoa; Arthropoda; Insecta; Blattodea; Kalotermitidae. The transcript is spliced from 6 exons.